GGGGCUGUGGUUCUGUGGCCGAGCAUCCGCUUGGCAUGUAGAAAGUCUCAGGUUCAAUCCCUAGCAUCUCCA
This 72-nucleotide transfer RNA is filed under the name Sphaerodactylus townsendi. RNAcentral describes it as "tRNA-Ala". It matches the Rfam family "tRNA". From Rfam's summary of the family: Transfer RNA (tRNA) molecules are approximately 80 nucleotides in length. Their secondary structure includes four short double-helical elements and three loops (D, anti-codon, and T loops). Lineage: Eukaryota; Metazoa; Chordata; Lepidosauria; Squamata; Sphaerodactylidae. The record is from RNAcentral.